ACAACGACUCUCGGCAACGGAUAUCUCGGCUCUCGCAUCGAUGAAGAACGUAGCGAAAUGCGAUACUUGGUGUGAAUUGCAGAAUCCCGUGAACCAUCGAGUCUUUGAACGCAAGUUGCGCCCAAAGCUUCGGCUGAGGGCACGUCUGCCUGGGUGUCACGC
RNAcentral lists this ribosomal RNA (162 nucleotides) under Lythrum californicum. RNAcentral's name for it is "5.8S ribosomal RNA". It matches the Rfam family "5.8S ribosomal RNA". From Rfam's summary of the family: 5.8S ribosomal RNA (5.8S rRNA) is a component of the large subunit of the eukaryotic ribosome. It is transcribed by RNA polymerase I as part of the 45S precursor that also contains 18S and 28S rRNA. The record is from RNAcentral. Lineage: Eukaryota; Viridiplantae; Streptophyta; Magnoliopsida; Myrtales; Lythraceae.